GUGAAUCAUCAAAUUUUUGAACGCAAAUUGCGCCUUUUUCGGAAGGCAUGUCUGUUUGAGGGCACCAUUUAACAAAUAAUGUGCACCGUUUUGUGUGUGCACACGUUGAUGAGCUUUCCAGGAAAAUUUUUUUUUUUUUUUUUUUUUUUUGGUUGCGCAUAAUUAACAGGGCGAAAGCUUUUUUUUAAGUUCGAGUUUAUUAAAAUUUUUGCGUGGGUUGUGAAAAGAAAGGUGA
RNAcentral lists this unclassified non-coding RNA (235 nucleotides) under Paraglomerales sp. RNAcentral's name for it is "partial contains 5.8S ribosomal RNA and internal transcribed spacer 2". The stretch from base 1 to 65 matches the Rfam family "5.8S ribosomal RNA", at positions 84 to 154 of the family's 154-position model. The record is from RNAcentral. Lineage: Eukaryota; Fungi; Glomeromycota; Glomeromycetes; Paraglomerales.